GACAACUGACCGAUUUUGAAUGUAAAAUAAAAAGUUCAGUGCUCUUAAGCAAGAUAGAUUCUACGCGCUCAAUCCUUUCUACUGAUUUAUCUUUAAUUUUCUUUAACCAAGAGUUGCUUUCCAGCAGAAUGCUCUUUCAUCAAGAGCUAUGCUCCUUGAACACUUCAAUAACAUCAACAGGUGCAUUUUGGAUGGUCUACAAGUACUGUAUUUUUGAAGGAUCUGAUACGUGUGUGUCAACAUUUUUGAAGAGUCUGCACAACAUAGAUCAAGAAGUAGAGAAGCUCAUUCGUCUCAUUUAUCACAUAUCAAUAUUUCCGAUUGGGAAAAUGAGUAGACAAAAAUCGUUGAUUUAAGACAAAAGAUACCUAAAAGCAGGGGAAAUACAGGCAAGUCUAGUGGUUUUUCAGGCGCUUAAGACCCAACUCCUUUGAAAUAGACAAAAUUUUGGGACUUUUUGAAUCGUUUCCAGCUGCCCAAUUUUAGCAAAAGUAUCAACCGAAUUCCCUGACCCAGGCCCAAUCUUUAAUUUCUACCUUAACACCUCGACCCAGCCCAUCUCCCCUUUAGACCCGACCCAAAUUGGUAUCUUCCCAAAAGGAAACCCAGCUGGAGACAGCGAGAGGCUGCCAGAAGACCUCAACUUUGUUCCUUCUCAUCGCAAUCCCAAACACGCACAUCAGUGCGUGAACCACAACCGAAGUGAUUCUCCG
Molecule: long non-coding RNA, 713 nt
Filed under: Solanum lycopersicum (tomato)
Lineage: Eukaryota; Viridiplantae; Streptophyta; Magnoliopsida; Solanales; Solanaceae
Description: long non-coding RNA (SLYC_LNC001037)
Source: RNAcentral